AGUCUGAACCAGCCAUGCCGCGUGCAGGAAGACUGCCCUAUGGGUUGUAAACUGCUUUUAUAUAGGAAUAAACCCUCCAACGAGUUGGGGGCUGAAUGUACUAUAAGAAUAAGCACCGGCUAACUCCGUGCCAGCAGCCGCGGUAAUAGGGAGGGUGCAAGCGUUAUCCGGAUUUAUUGGGUUUAAAGGGUCCGCAGGCGGGAGAAUAAGUCAGUGGUGAAAUCCUAUCGCUUAACUAUAGAACUGCCAUUGAUACUGUUUUUCUUGAGUGUAGUUGAAGUUGGCGGAAUGUGUCAUGUAGCGGUGAAAUGCAUAGAUAUGACACAGAACACCGAUUGCGAAGGCAGCUAACUAAACUAUAACUGACGCUCAUGGACGAAAGCGUGGGGAGCGAACAGGAUUAGAUACCCUGGUAGUCCACGCUGUAAACGAUGAUUACUCGGUGUUGGCGAUAUACAGUCAGUGCCUAAGCGAAAGUGAUAAGUAAUCCACCU
Molecule: ribosomal RNA, 494 nt
Filed under: uncultured Owenweeksia sp.
Lineage: Bacteria; Pseudomonadati; Bacteroidota; Flavobacteriia; Flavobacteriales; Owenweeksiaceae
Description: bacterial SSU rRNA
Rfam family: Bacterial small subunit ribosomal RNA
Source: RNAcentral